This is a long non-coding RNA of Cyprinus carpio (common carp), 809 nucleotides long. RefSeq lists it as uncharacterized. The record is from RefSeq and is a predicted model, not a curated record. The transcript has 3 exons. NCBI's taxonomy places the organism in Eukaryota, Metazoa, Chordata, Actinopteri, Cypriniformes, Cyprinidae.
GGCAUAAUAUUCUCCAUUCAUACCUACCCGCCACUAGGGGUCACUCGUGUUUACGUGAUGCAUAGUAGAGUGCACACAGAGGAAGAGUGUACUACAUGUGUGGGUUGUGCUUGUUCACAUAGACAUCAUGCUUGUUCAUAGCUGUCUGCAGCUGAGCACAUGAGCAGUUGUGCAUAAGAUUAAAAGCAAACAUCAGCCUUUCUUAAGGAAGGGGGGAAAGUCCUGCUUGUGUUUUGCUUACCACCUUGUGCAUCAUGUAUUUGGUGUCUGUCUGCAAGAUAUUUCCUGGUGGAUAUAUACAUAUCUAAUGUGGCGGAGAUUGAGCAGGGGAGAACAGAUACACGUGUGUCAGCGCCUCGUUUCAUGUUACAGCGUGUCACAGAAAUAGCAUCCAAAAGCCACUACCGUUGUUUUAUAGGGGUAUAUUUCAUACAGGGCUAUUUUUGUGUGUUUUCAUUUAUUUUCUCUGUUGAUUUGGGAUCUUUAUAAUCUUGAGAAGGAAUGUGAUUUAAGGAGAAAUGUGUAAUAACCCUUUCUAAUCAGCCGAAUUUCACCCAAAGGGAGUGUUCAAUAGUUGGGCUACUGUUUUAUUUGUUUUAUUUAUUUUUCUUUAAACUGAAUAGGCCAUUGUAACAAAAUAUUUACACUGUAUUUGGAGCUUGUGUUAAUUUGAUCUCUUUUUAUAUUUCUUGUAAACUUGGUUUAUUAUAAUAUACUACGCAGGGGGAAAUUUCACAGUCAUUUAAUGCUGUGUUUUCUCUUAACUCAGUCGGAAAUAAAGAACACCUGUUAGAUGUAUGGCUGUGCUG